This 327-nucleotide ribosomal RNA is filed under the name uncultured eukaryote. RNAcentral's name for it is "partial 18S ribosomal RNA". It matches the Rfam family "Eukaryotic small subunit ribosomal RNA", at positions 1470 to 1796 of the family's 1831-position model. The record is from RNAcentral.
CCCUUAGAUGUUCUGGGCCGCACGCGCGCUACACUGACGAAUGCAACGAGCUUAUAACCUUGGCCGAAAGGUCUGGGUAAUCUCCAAAUUUCGUCGUGAUGGGGAUAGAUUAUUGCAAUUACUAAUCUUCAACGAGGAAUGCCUAGUAAGCGCAAGUCAUCAGCUUGCGUUGAUUACGUCCCUGCCCUUUGUACACACCGCCCGUCGCUCCUACCGAUUGAAUGGUCCGGUGAAGCGUUCGGACCGUGGCCUUUGGACGGUUCGCCGUCUGUUGGCUGCGGGAAGUUCGUUAAACCUUAUCAUUUAGAGGAAGGAGAAGUCGUANCA